UACGGGAGGCAGCAGUGGGGAAUAUUGCACAAUGGGCGCAAGCCUGAUGCAGCCAUGCCGCGUGUAUGAAAAAGGCCUUCGGGUUGUAAAGUACUUUCAGUCGUGAGGAAGGUGUUAAGGUUAAUAACCUUAGCAAUUGACGUUAGCGACAGAAGAAGCACCGGCUAACUCCGUGCCAGCAGCCGCGGUAAUACGGAGGGUGCGAGCGUUAAUCGGAAUUACUGGGCGUAAAGGGCACGCAGGCGGUUAAUUAAGUUGGAUGUGAAAUCCCCGGGCUUAACCUGGGAAUGGCAUUCAAGCUGGUUAGCUAGAGUCUUGUAGAGGGGGUAGAAUUCCAUGUGUAGCGGUGAAAUGCGUAGAGAUGUGGAGGAAUACCGGUGGGCGAAGGCGGCCCCUGGGACAAAGACUGACGCUCAUGUGCGAAAGCGUGGGGAGCAAACAGGGAUUAGAUACC
Molecule: ribosomal RNA, 454 nt
Filed under: uncultured bacterium
Lineage: Bacteria
Description: bacterial SSU rRNA
Rfam family: Bacterial small subunit ribosomal RNA
Source: RNAcentral